RNAcentral lists this ribosomal RNA (28 nucleotides) under Verticillium dahliae. RNAcentral describes it as "partial 18S ribosomal RNA". The record is from RNAcentral. Lineage: Eukaryota; Fungi; Ascomycota; Sordariomycetes; Glomerellales; Plectosphaerellaceae.
CGUAGGGUGAACCUGCGGAGGGAUCAUU